CAGUGGGGCGAGACAUAGACAUGCAAGUCGAACGCGAAAGACACCUUCGGGUGUCAAGUAGAGUGGCGCCCGGGCCUGAUACAGGUAGGUAAUCUACCUUCGGGUGGGGAAUAACCCCUUGAAACUUGGGCUAACACCGCAUAAUGCAGCGGCACCACAUGGUGACAGUUGUUAAAGCGGGGGAUUUUCGGACCUCGCGCCUGAAGAGGAGCCUGCGGCAGAUUAGCUAGUUGGUAGGGUAACGGCUUACCAAGGCGACGAUCUGUAGCCGGCCUGAGAGGGCGGUCGGCCACACUGACACUGACAUACGGGUCAGACUCCUACGGGAGGCAGCAGUCGGGAAUUUUGGGCAAUGGGCGAAAGCCUGACCCAGCAACGCCGCGUGAAGGAUGAAAUCUCUCGGGAUGUAAACUUCGCAAG
This 420-nucleotide ribosomal RNA is filed under the name uncultured bacterium. RNAcentral describes it as "bacterial SSU rRNA". It matches the Rfam family "Bacterial small subunit ribosomal RNA", at positions 39 to 438 of the family's 1533-position model. The record is from RNAcentral.